UACGUAGGUGGCAAGCGUUGUCCGGAUUUAUUGGGCGUAAAGGGAGCGCAGGCGGUGACUUAAGUCUGAUGUGAAAGCCCACGGCUCAACCGUGGAAGGUCAUUGGAAACUGGGUCACUUGAAUAUAGAAGAGGAAAGUGGAAUUCCAUGUGUAGCGGUAAAAUGCAUAGAGAUAUGGAGGAACACCAGUGGCGAAGGCGGCUUACUGGUCUGGAAUUGACACUGAGGCACGAAAGCGUGGGUAGCAAACAGGAUUAGAUACCCCGGUAGU
Molecule: ribosomal RNA, 271 nt
Filed under: uncultured prokaryote
Description: partial 16S ribosomal RNA
Rfam family: Bacterial small subunit ribosomal RNA
Source: RNAcentral